RNAcentral lists this ribosomal RNA (254 nucleotides) under uncultured bacterium. RNAcentral describes it as "partial 16S ribosomal RNA". It matches the Rfam family "Bacterial small subunit ribosomal RNA", at positions 524 to 777 of the family's 1533-position model. The record is from RNAcentral.
UACGUAGGUGGCAAGCGUUGUCCGGAAUUAUUGGGCGUAAAGCGCGCGCAGGCGGUCUCUUAAGUCUGAUGUGAAAUCCCGUGGCUUAACCACGGGCGGUCAUUGGAAACUGGGGGACUUGAGUGCAGAAGAGAAGAGCGGAAUUCCACGUGUAGCGGUGAAAUGCGUAGAUAUCUGGAGGAACACCGGUGGCGAAGGCGGCAUUCUGGACCGGCAUUGACGCUGAUGCGCGAAAGCCAGGGGAGCAAAGCGGG